Molecule: unclassified non-coding RNA, 298 nt
Filed under: Scutellinia colensoi
Lineage: Eukaryota; Fungi; Ascomycota; Pezizomycetes; Pezizales; Pyronemataceae
Description: partial internal transcribed spacer region
Rfam family: Eukaryotic small subunit ribosomal RNA (bases 1-46)
Source: RNAcentral
AAGUCGUAACAAGGUUUCCGUAGGUGAACCUGCGGAAGGAUCAUUAAAUGAAAAAUCUGUAUUCUGUUGAAUAUAUCGGAUUCUUAAACCCCAUCUGUGUACCACACCCGUUGCUUCCGCUGGGCAGUGAUAUCCCGUCGGUCGACACCCUACCCUCCGGGGUGAGAAGGUCGUCACGGCUGGAUGGACAAGUCCCGGCGAAAGGUCCGCAUUAAACCUUUGCAUUUCCAUUGCCGCCUGUCUGAACCUUUUUAUAUAACAAAUGUUAAAACUUUCAACAACGGAUCUCUUGGUUCUC